AUCCCAUGAUGAGGACAGGUAGCGACAUAUUCCUGCAGCCUUUCCCAAGCUUCUGGGAUUGUCUCAUCUCUUGUCUGCUGGAAGCUGGAUAUUCUUCCACGAAGGGC
Molecule: non-coding RNA, 107 nt
Organism: Oryza punctata
Lineage: Eukaryota; Viridiplantae; Streptophyta; Magnoliopsida; Poales; Poaceae
Source: Rfam